This 437-nucleotide ribosomal RNA is filed under the name uncultured bacterium. RNAcentral describes it as "partial 16S ribosomal RNA". It matches the Rfam family "Bacterial small subunit ribosomal RNA", at positions 29 to 507 of the family's 1533-position model. The record is from RNAcentral.
AGCGAACGCUGGCGGCAGGCUUAACACAUGCAAGUCGAGCGGGCAUCCUUGUGGUGUCAGCGGCAGACGGGUGAGUAACGCGUGGGAACGUGCCCUUCGGUUCGGAAUAACUCAGGGAAACUUGAGCUAAUACCGGAUACGUGCGAGAGCAGAAAGGUUUAUCUGCCGAAGGAUCGGCCCGCGUCUGAUUAGCUAGUUGGUGAGGUUACGGCUCACCAAGGCGACGAUCAGUAGCUGGCCUGAGAGGAUGAUCAGCCACACUGGGACUGAGACACGGCCCAGACUCAUACGGGAGGCAGCAGUGGGGAAUAUUGGACAAUGGGGGCAACCCUGAUCCAGCCAUGCCGCGUGAGUGAUGACGGCCUUAGGGUUGUAAAGCUCUUUUCUCCGGGACGAUAAUGACGGUACCGGAGGAAUAAGCCCCGGCUAACUUCGUG